RNAcentral lists this ribosomal RNA (253 nucleotides) under uncultured bacterium. RNAcentral's name for it is "partial 16S ribosomal RNA". It matches the Rfam family "Bacterial small subunit ribosomal RNA", at positions 524 to 776 of the family's 1533-position model. The record is from RNAcentral.
AACGUAGGUGGCAAGCGUUAUCCGGAUUCACUGGGCGUAAAGCGCACGCAGGUGGCAUGGCAGGUAGGGCAUGAAAACUCCUGGCUUAACUAGGAGAGGCUGUCCUAAACCGCCGAGCUUGAGGGUGAGAGAGGGAAGUGGAAUUGCCGGUGUAGUGGUGAAAUGCGUUGAUAUCAUCAGGAACACCGGUGGCGAAAGCGGCUUACUGGGUCUCUUCUGACGCUGAGAAACGAAAGCUAGGGUAGCGAACGGG